CCAGACUCCUACGGGAGGCAGCAGUGGGGAAUUUUGGACAAUGGGCGCAAGCCUGAUCCAGCCAUGCCGCGUGUCUGAAGAAGGCCUUCGGGUUGUAAAGGACUUUUGUUAGGGAAGAAAAGGAUAGUGUUAAUACCAUUAUCUGCUGACGGUACCUAAAGAAUAAGCACCGGCUAGCUACGUGCCAGCAGCCGCGGUAAUACGUAGGGUGCGAGCGUUAAUCGGAAUUACUGGGCGUAAAGCGAGCGCAGACGGUUUAUUAAGCAAGAUGUGAAAUCCCCGAGCUUAACUUGGGAACUGCGUCUUGAACUGGUAAGCUAGAGUAUGUCAGAGGGGGGUAGAAUUCCACGUGUAGCAGUGAAAUGCGUAGAGAUGUGGAGGAAUACCGAUGGCGAAGGCAGCCCCCUGGGAUAAUACUGACGUUCAUGCUCGAAAGCGUGGGUAGCAAACAGGAUUAGAUACCCUGGUAGUCCACGCCCUAAACGAUGUCAAUUAGCUGUUGGGCAGCUUGACUGCUUAGUAGCGAAGCUAACGCGUGAAAUCGACCGCCUGGGGAGUACGGUCGCAAGAUUAAAGCUCAAAGGAAUUGACGGGGGCCCCGCACAAG
Molecule: ribosomal RNA, 607 nt
Filed under: uncultured bacterium
Lineage: Bacteria
Description: bacterial SSU rRNA
Rfam family: Bacterial small subunit ribosomal RNA
Source: RNAcentral